GGAGAUGUGGAUGUCAAUGUGGAUGUCAAAUCUGACAUUUGACAUUUCCUAGCUGUAUGAUCCUGGGCAGGUCACUUAACCCCCACUGCCUAGUCCUUGCCAAUCUUCUUAGAACUGAUACUAAGACAGAGAGGGAGGGGGAGGAGGAGGAGGAAAGAAAAAAGGAAGAAAUUUGGGCAUUAUAAAUCAAAAUAUAUCAAUAAAAUUGACUUUUUAAGAAGUCAGCAGUCUUACUAUGACCAAUUGUAUGUUCUCAAAUGCCUUCUUACAGAAUUUGAAGGAGCCAUGGCUUCACCAGCGGAGGCAGAGCAUUGCUUCUAGCAUUGGAUAGCCUGAACUUUCUUCUUAAAUUACUGACAUGGAAGAAACAAAAGAAAACUAUACAUCACGUGGUAUUUCCUCUUCCCUGAGCUCAGGGUACAACUUUCUGGAUAGGGGAAAGGAAGUGAUUUAUUUGGAAAUAAAGAUGAUGUAAAAGAUACCAAGAAAAUAAACACUAAAAAGUGGACUCUUUCUACAGGAAAAUGAAAGCGACCUUCCAGAGAAGCAUUUUAGAGUGAGAACAACACGGAAGAAUGUCUAAAAUGAGCACAUUCCCUAUGUAACAUCCAAGUCCAGCAAGAACCGUCACAGUCAUGUUGUCUCCAUUGUUUGCUCAAAAUUCAGGAUUUGCAGAGAUGCCCUCUUCCAUUGAUUUCAAAAGAAUGUCAUCACCCUCACUGAACCGAAGAGGAGACAUUUGCUGCUAUGAUCAGAAUCUAAUUUUUUUUUGUAAAACUAAAUAUGGUUUAUUUAAUUAUAAUAAUAGCUAACAUUGAUAUAGCAUUUGAGGGCAGCCUGGAGGCCUAGUGGAUAGAUUUCCAGGCUUAAAGCCUGGAAAACUCAUUGAUCUGAAUUUCAAUCCAGUCUUAGACACUUUCUAGCCAUGUGAUUCUGGGCAAGUUAACUUCAGUUGCUUAGCCCUUACCACUCUUCUGCCUUGCAAUCAAUACUCAGGAACUUGGAAAAAUGCUAGUCAAUUCUAAGAUAGAAAGUAAGGAGUUAUUUAAAAAAGAAAGAGAAAGGAAAAGAGAAAGAAAAAGAAGGAAAGAGGAAGGAAAGAAGAAAUAGAAAGAAAGAAAGAAAGAAAGAAAGAAAGAAAGAAAGAAAGAAAGAAAGAAAGAAAGAAAGAAAGAAAGAAAGAAAGAAAGAAAGAAAGAAAGAAAGAAAGAAAGAAGGGAGAGAGGGAGGGAGGAUGGAGGGAGGG
RNAcentral lists this long non-coding RNA (1246 nucleotides) under Monodelphis domestica (gray short-tailed opossum). RNAcentral's name for it is "lncRNA (ENSMODG00000039680.1)". Lineage: Eukaryota; Metazoa; Chordata; Mammalia; Didelphimorphia; Didelphidae. The record is from RNAcentral.